UGCCCACUGAUAAUUAAUUAAAGGGCUGCAGUAAUUUGACUGUACAAAGGUAGCAUAAUCAUUAGUCAUUUAAUUGAUGACUUGUAUGAAAGAUUGGAUGAAAUAUAAACUGUCUCUUAAUUAUAAUUAGAAUUUAAUUUUUUAAUUAAAAAGUUAAAAUAAAUUAAAAAGACGAGAAGACCCUAUAGAGUUUUAUAAAUAAGUUAGUUAAAAUUAUUAUUAAAAUAAAUAAAUUGAAAUUAAUUUAUUUAUUUUGUUGGGGUGAUAGAAAAAUAUAUAAAACUUUUUUUAAAAAAUUACAUAUAUAAGUGAAUAUUUGAUCCAGUAUUAUUGAUUAAAAGAAAAAAUUACCUUAGGGAUAACAGCGUAAUUUUUUUUUUUAGUUCAUAUAAAAAAAAGAGUUUGCGACCUCGAUGUUGGAUUAAGAUAAAAUUUAAAUGCAGAAGUUUAAAGUUUUUGA
RNAcentral lists this ribosomal RNA (460 nucleotides) under Panolis japonica. Its description in RNAcentral is "partial 16S ribosomal RNA". The record is from RNAcentral. Lineage: Eukaryota; Metazoa; Arthropoda; Insecta; Lepidoptera; Noctuidae.